This 297-nucleotide unclassified non-coding RNA is filed under the name Hevea brasiliensis (rubber tree). The record is from RNAcentral. Lineage: Eukaryota; Viridiplantae; Streptophyta; Magnoliopsida; Malpighiales; Euphorbiaceae.
UGCAGCCCACUGCAGCAUGCGUGAGAGGGCGUGGGGGCCUUGCCGGUAGCGUACCCAACGCAGGCAGCUGCCUUUGCGUCCACAGUGCUGCAUGGAACUGCAGCCUGGCUUACAUUGGCGAGGCAGAAGAGGAAGGAGAGGAGGAAGAGAACAGAAAAGAAGAUUUUCUUCAUGGUUAGCUAUGUUUGAUGGUUAACUCUACUAACGGACUCUUUUAUGCUACUUGAGGGAGUAGUAGACUAGCUUUGGUAUGGGAAAUGUGGGUGUGGUUGAUGGGUUUUUAUAGGGAAAGAUGGG